AAAUGAACAAAUCAGGAGACUAUAGAUGCUGGCGAGGAUAUGGAGAAGCAGGAACCCUCUUGAGCUGUUGGUGGAAAUGCAAACUGGUGCAGCCGCUCUGGAACUCAGUGUGGAGGUUCCUCAAAAAAUUAAAAAUAGAACUACCCUACGACCCAGCAAUAGCA
Herpailurus yagouaroundi (jaguarundi) is the source of this 164-nucleotide long non-coding RNA. RefSeq lists it as uncharacterized. The transcript has 3 exons. NCBI's taxonomy places the organism in Eukaryota, Metazoa, Chordata, Mammalia, Carnivora, Felidae. The record is from RefSeq and is a predicted model, not a curated record.